This 262-nucleotide long non-coding RNA is filed under the name Sus scrofa (pig). RNAcentral's name for it is "lncRNA (ENSSSCG00070014779.1)". The record is from RNAcentral. Lineage: Eukaryota; Metazoa; Chordata; Mammalia; Artiodactyla; Suidae.
GGUCCAGGGCCGGACGGUAGAGGCCUCCCUUCCGGGGCGGCGGCGGCGGCGCGGGCGCUCCCCGGCGCGAGCCCACGCGUCCUUCCCCUCGAGGUCCCUGCGCGGCGCGGCCCAGCCCGGCGUGAGUACCCCCCACGCGCUCCCCUCCGCCCCCAGGCGGCAGCGCCUGUUCCCUGGAGGUCUGUUCCUCCUUUCCCUCACCUGCUGCUCACCUGCCUCACUGAAGCACCCCAGACGUGAAGACUGAGCCAUAGAAAGGUUA